UGCACUGAGGAGCGCUGCGACUGUCGCCGGUUUGAUCCGCAACGACAGCCAGGCUCAGCGCAGGCGAUGAUUCAACUGCGCUCGUUGACU
Molecule: non-coding RNA, 90 nt
Filed under: Hydrogenophilales bacterium
Lineage: Bacteria; Pseudomonadati; Pseudomonadota; Hydrogenophilia; Hydrogenophilales
Description: SAH sequence
Rfam family: SAH (S-adenosyl-L-homocysteine) riboswitch aptamer
Source: RNAcentral